This 503-nucleotide ribosomal RNA is filed under the name uncultured bacterium. RNAcentral describes it as "partial 16S ribosomal RNA". It matches the Rfam family "Bacterial small subunit ribosomal RNA", at positions 30 to 523 of the family's 1533-position model. The record is from RNAcentral.
AUUGAACGCUGGCGGCAGGCUUAACACAUGCAAGUCGAGCGGGGUGAUGGUGCUUGCACUAUCACUUAGCGGCGGACGGGUGAGUAAUGCUUAGGAAUCUGCCUAUUAGUGGGGGACAACAUCUCGAAAGGGAUGCUAAUACCGCAUACGUCCUACGGGAGAAAGCAGGGGAUCACUUGUGACCUUGCGCUAAUAGAUGAGCCUAAGUCGGAUUAGCUAGUUGGUGGGGUAAAGGCCUACCAAGGCGACGAUCUGCAGCGGGUCUGAGAGGAUGAUCCGCCAAACUGGGACUGAGACACGGCCCAGACUCCUACGGGAGGCAGCAGUGGGGAAUAUUGGACAAUGGGGGGAACCCUGAUCCAGCCAUGCCGCGUGUGUGAAGAAGGCCUUAUGGUUGUAAAGCACUUUAAGCGAGGAGGAGGCUACUUUAGUUAAUACCUAGAGAUAGUGGACGUUACUCGCAGAAUAAGCACCGGCUAACUCUGUGCCAGCCGCCGCCGUAA